GAGCUUUUCUCUAUCACUUCUCUGCUCAGCCUGUAAGUGUGCCUGGGCUUGCCCUGACCCAAGUGUAGGACCAUGCACUUGGCUGUGUUGAACUGCUUUAGACUUCAGAGUUCACUGCUGUUCUCAUCAUAUCCAGACAUGCUGCGGUGAUAAGGGACCUUGUGUUCAGAGUUUCAAUACCCUCUCCACUUGGCUCCUGGGAAGAAGUUGAGGCUUGGCUUUCUUUGAGGCUGGCCACUGCUGCUGGGCAGGAUGUGACAAGUGUGCUGGUUUGCAAGGCGGUGGUGUACAGAAGAGUGAUUUCAUUCAAACAAGAAGUUGUUGCUAG
Long non-coding RNA from Passer domesticus (house sparrow), 328 nucleotides. RefSeq lists it as uncharacterized. The transcript is spliced from 3 exons. Lineage: Eukaryota; Metazoa; Chordata; Aves; Passeriformes; Passeridae. The record is from RefSeq and is a predicted model, not a curated record.